GAUCUAUUGCUGAGGAUGUAAUGAGAGUCAAGUUUGCCAACACAGUCACUCCAUUAUCUAAGUCAUUGCUCCAUAAACUGCUUUGAGUUCUUUCAUCCCUGGUCUCUAUUAUUUGUGGCCUAAGACUCUUACAAGCCUUGUGCUCUUCUUGUGGAUUGUCUGAUGGAUUUAGCAUUAGAGAAAAGCAGACAUCUAUCUUGAGGUGCAUUAAUUCAGAGCAAAGCCUCCUUACUGCUGAUGGUACGGUGAAGAUCGGGAGGGUGUUGGUUACUCAGGCAGUUGCAGCGCUGGAUUAAAAACAAGCCAGGCUGGUACAGAUCCAGGGUAAAGAGUGCUAGCUGAGAAAAAAUGAAA
This 354-nucleotide long non-coding RNA is filed under the name Zonotrichia albicollis (white-throated sparrow). RNAcentral describes it as "lncRNA (ENSZALG00000004094.1)". The record is from RNAcentral. Lineage: Eukaryota; Metazoa; Chordata; Aves; Passeriformes; Passerellidae.